RNAcentral lists this ribosomal RNA (492 nucleotides) under uncultured bacterium. Its description in RNAcentral is "partial 16S ribosomal RNA". It matches the Rfam family "Bacterial small subunit ribosomal RNA", at positions 29 to 507 of the family's 1533-position model. The record is from RNAcentral.
AGUGAACGCUGGCGGUAGGCCUAACACAUGCAAGUCGAACGGCAGCACAGUAAGAGCUUGCUCUUACGGGUGGCGAGUGGCGGACGGGUGAGGAAUACAUCGGAAUCUACUUUUUCGUGGGGGAUAACGUAGGGAAACUUACGCUAAUACCUCAUACGACCUACGGGUGAAAGCAGGGGAUCUUCGGACCUUGCGCGAUUGAAUGAGCCGAUGUCGGAUUAGCUAGUUGGCGGGGUAAAGGCCCACCAAGGCGACGAUCCGUAGCUGGUCUGAGAGGAUGAUCAGCCACACUGGAACUGAGACACGGUCCAGGCUCCUACGGGAGGCAGCAGUGGGGAAUAUUGGACAAUGGGCGCAAGCCUGAUCCAGCCAUACCGCGUGGGUGAAGAAGGCCUUCGGGUUGUAAAGCCCUUUUGUUGGGAAAGAAAAGCAGCAGGUUAAUACCCCGCUGUUCUGACGGUACCCAAAGAAUAAGCACCGGCUAACUUCGUG